RNAcentral lists this ribosomal RNA (720 nucleotides) under uncultured bacterium. Its description in RNAcentral is "bacterial SSU rRNA". It matches the Rfam family "Bacterial small subunit ribosomal RNA", at positions 62 to 787 of the family's 1533-position model. The record is from RNAcentral.
UCGAACGGUUGUCAGCAAUGGCAAUAGUGGCGCACGGGUGCGUAACGCGUAACCAACCUACCCGAAUCUGGGGGAUAGCCCGCCGAAAGGCGGAUUAAUACCGCAUAAAACUGCAGGACGGCAUCGUUUAACAGUUAAAGAUUUAUUGGAUUCGGAUGGGGUUGCGUGCCAUUAGCUAGUUGGGGGGGUAACGGCCCACCAAGGCGACGAUGGCUAGGGGAGCUGAGAGGCUGGUCCCCCACACGGGCACUGAGAUACGGGCCCGACUCCUACGGGAGGCAGCAGUAGGGAAUAUUGGGCAAUGGUCGAGAGACUGACCCAGCCAUGCCGCGUGCAGGAUGAAGGCUUUCUGAGUCGUAAACUGCUUUUGCCAGGGAAAAAAAAAGGGGAUGCGUCCUCUACUGACGGUACCUGGUGAAUAAGCACCGGCUAACUCCGUGCCAGCAGCCGCGGUAAUACGGAGGGUGCAAGCGUUGUCCGGAUUUAUUGGGUUUAAAGGGUGCGUAGGCGGCUUUUUAAGUCUGGGGUGAAAGCCCGUUGCUCAACAACGGAACUGCCCUGGAAACUGGAGAGCUUGAGUACAGACGAGGGUGGCGGAAUGGAUACUGUAGCGGUGAAAUGCAUAGAUAGUAUCCAGAACCCCGAUUGCGAAGGCAGCUGCCUAGACUGUAACUGACGCUGAGGCACGAAAGCGUGGGGAGCGAACAGGAUUAGAUACCC